Molecule: long non-coding RNA, 2123 nt
Filed under: Anas platyrhynchos platyrhynchos (common mallard)
Lineage: Eukaryota; Metazoa; Chordata; Aves; Anseriformes; Anatidae
Description: lncRNA (ENSAPLG00000023572.1)
Source: RNAcentral
UAUAACUUGUCAGGAUGUCACAGCCUUCUGAGUUCUACUGUUAAAUCUGUACUUCAUAUACAUUGUCUGGAUACCUAACCCUAGGAUUUGACUUUACAUUGAGUUGCAGGCACUUAAAAUUUUGCUUGCUGCAGCUAGCUAAAAACUGUUUUAUUGAAGAGCAUCCAUCAACACUAUGUAAAGCUUUGAUUACAACUACAAUCUUCUGAGACUUGAAGAGGUGUUUCUGACUAGUAGGUUUACUCUACCCUGUUUACUGUUGCUGUAUUAUGCUUUAGAGUCUGUAUUUUCAUUUCUGUAUAACCACAUCUUGACUUUGUACAGAAAUAACGUGUCUUAAAAUUUUCAUGUCGUAGAUGGAAUCAUUUCCCUUUGAUGAGUAUUUAAGGAAUACAGCUGUCCUAGAUAUGUCUUAAGUAGGAAACUCUGGUUCCUUGUUUGGAGGAAAGACAAUGCAGCCGCUGCCAAUUUAAGAGAUCCUAAUGUCAGGCAAGAAGGAGUUAAUGUGGACUUAAAUGUAUCUGAAAGCAAACACACUUAAUGAUAAUGACAAGUACUUAUGUAAAUGAACUGCUAAUACUCAUCCAGCCAGAGGUGAUUAAGUCUUCUAGGCCAACUGGAGAUUUCACCCAGCAGGGGCUAUUUGGAAGCUGGAUUUCAAUGAGAGCUGAGACUGAGCCCCAUCUUCCCCCAGAAGAGGGGACCAUGUAUUCCUGCUGUACUGUGGAUACAUUAAUGCAGCUUCAGAGCACAUGAAAUCCAAACUAAAGACUUAGAUAUCUAUUAUGAAGUCCUUUCCUGAGAAUCACUGAGCAGUCAUGCCUUUUUUUUUUUUUUUUUUUUUUUUUUAACUGUUAUUACUAAAAAUUUUAAAAAGAUUAGAUUCAGCUAUCACUGGUUUAUAAGAACAUACUGACAUCAGCUAAGCUUCUGGGAAAAGGAUAUUGGAAGGCCUAUGUCCUUGGGAGAUGUCAUUGGCAACAGUUCAGGCACACCUGAGGUGUGUUUUUUUAAUAACUGGUCUCACAGAGAGGUGUUCUCAAGUCAAGUGUUUCUUUGAUUGUCACGAUCACAUUCUCAUUCUGAUCUCAUUGUGAGGCAUCAAACAGUCCUUUUCUAAAUGUGUUCUGCAACAGCCAUAUAUAUUCUGUGUGUAACCUGGGAGUCUGCCUUUACGUUCUUAAGCUAUGUUUCAAAUAUAUUGUUGUCAAAGACUGGGGAGACCUCAACAUUUUCACUUUUUGCCCAGGAAUUUUUCUAAGGAUUGGAUAUAAGUUUUGCCAGGCUUUAGGAGGCCUUGAUUUAAGAAUGUUUUGAGUUUCUUUGUCUAAAAACUUGAAGAAAUUUUAAGCUAUGCACAUACUUCUCACUUCUGAAAAGCAAAACUGUCCUACCCAAGAAUAGCAAAAGAUUGAAGAGAUUUCUGAAGCUAUGCCCAAUCUACUUGAUUUUGAGAAGUGACUGAAAGGCAGGGCUACACCUUGAAAGCAACUUUUAUUUUAGUAAGGAGUUGCUGAAAGAUUUUGCACAACAACUUAUAUAAUCAUUUUCUGUUGGAAUACAAGAUGUGAUACAUUACAAAUCUGAGGCAUCAACAGACAAAAUGUACUCCUGCACUUAUAAACACCUGCAUUUAAUGGAAACAUCCAGUCCUCUUAUUAUGUAUUUAAAUGUAUGACAUCCUUUUCAGUAUAUGCUUGAUGUUGCUUUCUGACCCUGACAUCAGCUCCUGGAAAAACUGAAUAGGAAAUUUAAUCCUUGAUAUUGUUCUAUUUGCUUAAAUGUGGUUUGUAUACACCUGAAUAACCUUUUUCUUUACACUGCUGUGGUUGUAAGGAUUUAGGACAAAUAGAUUACUGUCUUCUAUUUUGCCAUCUGGAGUUGUGAGAGUAGCAGCCCUUUUCCUCAAAACUAAUCCUUUGACUUUGGUGAUAUGCAAAAAAUAGAUUUCAGAAAAAGAUGUUCACGGUUUAUACAUUGACUACAAAAAAUUAGCUGACUAUAUCUGGACAAAAUUAUUUUUUUUUAUAUACUUAUGAUGCACAUUUUCAGUUAUCUUAUUUUUCUGCUUGGUUCUAAAAAGUCCCAAUAAAUAAAGAGCAAGCAAAUGUAUGUAUGAGGUA